AGAGUUUGAUCAUGGCUCAGAUUGAACGCUGGCGGCAGGCCUAACACAUGCAAGUCGAACGGUAACAGGAAACAGCUUGCUGUUUCGCUGACGAGUGGCGGACGGGUGAGUAAUGUCUGGGAAACUGCCUGAUGGAGGGGGAUAACUACUGGAAACGGUAGCUAAUACCGCAUAACGUCGCAAGACCAAAGAGGGGGACCCUCAGGCCUCUUGCCAUCGGAUGUGCCCAGAUGGGAUUAGCUUGUUGGUGGGGUAACGGCUCACCAAGGCGACGAUCCCUAGCUGGUCUGAGAGGAUGACCAGCCACACUGGAACUGAGACACGGUCCAGACUCCUACGGGAGGCAGCAGUGGGGAAUAUUGCACAAUGGGCGCAAGCCUGAUGCAGCCAUGCCGCGUGUAUGAAGAAGGCCUUCGGGUUGUAAAGUACUUUCAGCGGGGAGGAAGGGAGUAAAGUUAAUACCUUUGCUCAUUGACGUUACCCGCAGAAGAAGCACCGGCUAACUCCGUGCCAGCAGCCGCGGUAAUACGGAGGGUGCAAGCGUUAAUCGGAAUUACUGGGCGUAAAGCGCACGCAGGCGGUUUGUUAAGUCAGAUGUGAAAUCCCCGGGCUCAACCUGGGAACUGCAUCUGAUACUGGCAAGCUUGAGUCUCGUAGAGGGGGGUAGAAUUCCAGGUGUAGCGGUGAAAUGCGUAGAGAUCUGGAGGAAUACCGGUGGCGAAGGCGGCCCCCUGGACGAAGACUGACGCUCAGGUGCGAAAGCGUGGGGAGCAACAGGAUUAGAUACCCUGGUAGUCCACGCCGUAAACGAUGUCGACUUGGAGGUUGUGCCCUUGAGGCGUGGCUUCCGGAGCUAACGCGUUAAGUCGACCGCCUGGGGAGUACGGCCGCAAGGUUAAAACUCAAAUGAAUUGACGGGGGCCCGCACAAGCGGUGGAGCAUGUGGUUUAAUUCGAUGCAACGCGAAGAACCUUACCUGGUCUUGACAUCCACAGAACUUUCCAGAGAUGGAUUGGUGCCUUCGGGAACUGUGAGACAGGUGCUGCAUGGCUGUCGUCAGCUCGUGUUGUGAAAUGUUGGGUUAAGUCCCGCAACGAGCGCAACCCUUAUCUUUUGUUGCCAGCGGUCCGGCCGGGAACUCAAAGGAGACUGCCAGUGAUAAACUGGAGGAAGGUGGGGAUGACGUCAAGUCAUCAUGGCCCUUACGACCAGGGCUACACACGUGCUACAAUGGCGCAUACAAAGAGAAGCGACCUCGCGAGAGCAAGCGGACCUCAUAAAGUGCGUCGUAGUCCGGAUUGGAGUCUGCAACUCGACUCCAUGAAGUCGGAAUCGCUAGUAAUCGUGGAUCAGAAUGCCACGGUGAAUACGUUCCCGGGCCUUGUACACACCGCCCGUCACACCAUGGGAGUGGGUUGCAAAAGAGGUAGGUAGCUUAACCUUCGGGAGGGCGCUUACCACUUUGUGAUUCAUGACUGGGGUGAAGUCGUAACAAGGUAACCGUA
RNAcentral lists this ribosomal RNA (1505 nucleotides) under uncultured bacterium. RNAcentral's name for it is "bacterial SSU rRNA". It matches the Rfam family "Bacterial small subunit ribosomal RNA". The record is from RNAcentral.